UAUUUAACAAUUAUUCGCCGAAGGCGAGGUGAUUAUCGGGGAAUAAAAACCGAGACGAAGUCGAGGUUUUUAUUCACGAUAAUCACCGAGCCUGAGGUGAAUAAUUGUUUUAGUAUAAUUUCAUAGGUGAUUAUUUGGAAAAAAAUAAGAAAAUACACAUUUCUUCGUCAUUUAAUUGACAAAAAGGCUUUGGCCGCCAUUUUGAAAAUCGCUUAGGUGAUUAUCGCGUAAUAAUCACCUCAACGGCAACCAAUCAGCGUGGAG
This 264-nucleotide long non-coding RNA is filed under the name Paramuricea clavata. Lineage: Eukaryota; Metazoa; Cnidaria; Anthozoa; Malacalcyonacea; Plexauridae. The record is from RNAcentral.